This 272-nucleotide long non-coding RNA is filed under the name Chinchilla lanigera (long-tailed chinchilla). Its description in RNAcentral is "lncRNA (ENSCLAG00000027516.1)". Lineage: Eukaryota; Metazoa; Chordata; Mammalia; Rodentia; Chinchillidae. The record is from RNAcentral.
GCCUUCCACCCUCGGAGUGGCUUUGAUGAGGACAAGGCCCUCAGCAGAUGGACCAGAGUACAUGUGAAGAAUAAAAGGGAGAAUGUUCCUGGCGGAUGAACUGAUACACUGAGGAGCUGAAAUACAAACAGGGUGGCUGAAGCACCAAAGAGAAGAAAUGUACGAAGAAGUGAAAUUGUAUUUCCUGUGAGCAUGAACAUAAGAAGAUCCAGAAUAAUACAUAUGGAGGGGCUUUGUCGGUUGUUCAGAAAUUCAUAAAGGAAAGACCUCAG